Camelus dromedarius (Arabian camel) is the source of this 105-nucleotide small nuclear RNA. Lineage: Eukaryota; Metazoa; Chordata; Mammalia; Artiodactyla; Camelidae. The record is from Ensembl.
GUGCUCGCCUCAGCAGCACAUAACACUAAAAUUGGGAUGAUGGAGAGAUUAGCACGGCCCCUGCUCAAGGAUGACAUGCAAAUUCGUGAAGCAUUCCAUAUUUUU